ACCAAUAUUAUUUAUAUGCAUUACACUUGAACCCCGUCUCUCACUACCUUCCUGCUUUCCGUUUAGGGCUCGAAUGCGGAAGCUCUCGGUGCUCUUGCGCUAGGUUUCAUAGUUUUCAUCUUUGUAGUGGGCACGGCCAUUAGCAGACGGGGUUCUCUCUCUUUUUGUUUGUUUUGUUUGGUGGUUCUUCUCUUUUUGAAAGCAAGAUAUACGGCUGAUAUGAAAGGCGAAAGCAAGCUUCUGAAAUUGAAUAUAAGCACCAUGCUGGGGUUGCAGUGUGAGCAGUAGCAUGGGUGCAUGAACAUAAGAUGAGGAGAUUUUGAAAAUGUAAUGCUGAAGAAUUAUCGCUAGUGCUAACUUUGCUUCCAUCAUAACCAAGUUCUGACCAAUACAGAUUCUUGCUCCCAAUCCAAAUGGAAGAAAUGCAGCCAUAGGCCUUUUGGUAUCUGAGAACCUCAUUGGAUUAAACUCAUUUGCAUCUUCUCCCCAAAUCUUAACAUCAUGAUGUAUGGCUAAAGUUGGGAUGUAGAGUUGUGUUCCUGCAGGAAUAUGAAGGGCUCCUAACUUUACAUUCUUGCAUGUUUGCCUUGUUAGUGAUACAACUGGCGGGUACAAGCGCAGAGUCUCACAUAAUAUCAUAUUUACCUGUUGUUAAUCAAAGAAGUCGUUUAGAGAUGGAAGAUGAUAUGCCAUGAUUUUUUUUGUGUUAUUGUAUUGUCCAAGGUAGUUAACAAGAUCAUAAACACCUAUAUUGUAUAUUCACUUUAAGCU
Molecule: long non-coding RNA, 771 nt
Organism: Phalaenopsis equestris
Lineage: Eukaryota; Viridiplantae; Streptophyta; Magnoliopsida; Asparagales; Orchidaceae
Exons: 3
Source: RefSeq, a predicted model, not a curated record